This 440-nucleotide ribosomal RNA is filed under the name uncultured beta proteobacterium. Its description in RNAcentral is "bacterial SSU rRNA". It matches the Rfam family "Bacterial small subunit ribosomal RNA", at positions 201 to 632 of the family's 1533-position model. The record is from RNAcentral. Lineage: Bacteria; Pseudomonadati; Pseudomonadota; Betaproteobacteria.
GGAUCGCAAGACCUUGCGCUCUUGGAGCGGCCGAUGUCUGAUUAGCUAGUUGGUGAGGUAAAGGCUUACCAAGGCGACGAUCAGUAGCUGGUCUGAGAGGACGACCAGCCACACUGGGACUGAGACACGGCCCAGACUCCUACGGGAGGCAGCAGUGGGGAAUUUUGGACAAUGGGGGAAACCCCGAUCCAGCCAUGCCGCGUGAGUGAAGAAGGCCUUCGGGUUGUAAAGCUCUUUCAGCCGGAACGAAACGGUCACGGCUAAUACCUGUGACUACUGACGGUACCGGAAGAAGAAGCACCGGCUAACUACGUGCCAGCAGCCGCGGUAAUACGUAGGGUGCAAGCGUUAAUCGGAAUUACUGGGCGUAAAGCGUGCGCAGGCGGUUUUGUAAGUCAGAUGUGAAAUCCCCGGGCUUAACCUGGGAACUGCGUUUGAAA